RNAcentral lists this ribosomal RNA (460 nucleotides) under uncultured bacterium. RNAcentral describes it as "partial 16S ribosomal RNA". It matches the Rfam family "Bacterial small subunit ribosomal RNA", at positions 338 to 795 of the family's 1533-position model. The record is from RNAcentral.
CCUACGGGAGGCUGCAGUGAGGAAUAUUGGUCAAUGGACGAGAGUCUGAACCAGCCAAGUAGCGUGAAGGAUGCCUGCACUAUGGGUUGUAAACUUCUUUUAUAUGGGAAUAAAAUGUUCCACGUGUGGGACUUUGUAUGUACCAUAUUACUAAGGAACGGCUAACCUCGUGCCAGCAGCCGAGGCAAUACGGAGGAUCCGAGCGUUCUCCGGAUUUCUUGGGGUUAAAGGGAGCGUAGGUGGAUUUUUAAGUACGUUGGCAAAGUUUUCGGCUCAACCUUAAGAUUGCAGUUGAAACUGGCAGUCUUGAGUACAGUAGAGGUGUGCGGAAUUCGUGGUGUAGCGGUGAAAUGCUGAGAUAUCACGAAGAACUCCGAUUGCGAAGGCAGCUCACUGGACUGCAACUGACACUGAGGCUCGAAAGUGUGGGUAUCAAACAGGAUUAGAUACCCCUGUAGUC